AUUGAACGCUGGCGGCAGGCCUAACACAUGCAAGUCGAGCGGAUGAAGGGAGCUUGCUCCUGGAUUCAGCGGCGGACGGGUGAGUAAUGCCUAGGAAUCUGCCUGGUAGUGGGGGAUAACGUCCGGAAACGGGCGCUAAUACCGCAUACGUCCUGAGGGAGAAAGUGGGGGAUCUUCGGACAUCACGCUAUCAGAUGAGCCUAGGUCGGAUUAGCUAGUUGGUGGGGUAAAGGCCUACUAAGGCGACGAUCCGUAACUGGUCUGAGAGGAUGAUCAGUCACACUGGAACUGGGACACGGUCCAGACUCCUGCGGGAGGCAGCAGUGGGGAAUAUUAGACAAUGGGCGAAAGCCUGAUCCAGCCAGGCCGCGUGUGUGAAGAAGGUCUUCGGAUUGUAAAGCACUUUAAGUUGUGAGGAAGGGCAGUAAGUUAAUACCUUGCUGUUGUGACGUUACCAACAGAAGAAGCACCGGCUAACUUCGUG
Molecule: ribosomal RNA, 484 nt
Filed under: uncultured bacterium
Lineage: Bacteria
Description: partial 16S ribosomal RNA
Rfam family: Bacterial small subunit ribosomal RNA
Source: RNAcentral